RNAcentral lists this ribosomal RNA (389 nucleotides) under uncultured bacterium. RNAcentral describes it as "bacterial SSU rRNA". It matches the Rfam family "Bacterial small subunit ribosomal RNA", at positions 28 to 419 of the family's 1533-position model. The record is from RNAcentral.
GACGAACGCUGGCGGCGUGCUUAACACAUGCAAGUCGAGCGGUAAGGCCCUUUCGGGGGUACACGAGCGGCGAACGGGUGAGUAACACGUGGGUGACCUGCCCUCAGCUCUGGGAUAAGCCUGGGAAACUGGGUCUAAUACCGGAUAUGACUCCAUGACGCAUGUUGUGGGGUGGAAAGCCUUGUGCGGCUGAGGAUGGGCCCGCGGCCUAUCAGCUUGUUGGUGGGGGAUGGCCUACCAAGGCGACGACGGGUAGCCGGCCUGAGAGGGCGACCGGCCACACUGGGACUGAGACACGGCCCAGACUCCUACGGGAGGCAGCAGUGGGGAAUCUUGCGCAAUGGGCGAAAGCCUGACGCAGCGACGCCGCGUGAGGGAUGACGGCCUGG